AAUAAAUAAUGGAGAAUUGUUAUUCUAGAUUUCUAUAUAUACACGCCUUGUAGUGGCCAUUACAUUCAUGGGAGGUGAUAAUCUCUUUGUCAAGAUUUCAAUCUUUUCCUUGGUGUUGGUACUUAGAAAGCUGAAGAAGAGGCCAUGGAUACCUUGUUCAGGAGGGCCAGGCAGAGAUGUUGAAAAAGUAACUGUUUCAUUAUUUGUUGGAGUCUUUACAUUACUAUCAUAUGAAAGAGGAUUUUUAAUUGCAUUGCCUGUGAAAACCUCGAGGUUUUGUUGUGGGAGGAUUGCCCUUUGCUUUGUUGUGGGAGGAUUACCCUUUUAUUGGAUAGUUUAAAUCUCACACACUAAGCUUUGACUUUUAGGUUUAAAAGUGUUAAAUACUCAAAAUUGACGGUCAUUUUCUAGAUUUAAUAUAUUGCUUAGUGACUGACAUCUUUGUUUACCCUCUAUUUAUUCUUCAAUUCAAAUCUGUUCAAGAUAUCAUUAAAUCUGAUUUAAUUUUUUCUAUUAAUUGUUUAGAUAAUUCGACUUAAAACAUACUAUAGAUAGAUUCUAUUAAAAAAUAUGUGAUUUCAAAUGAACGAACAAUCCUCUCACAACCGAACUUCAAAGUUUUCACAGACUAGGAUUAAACAUCCUCUUUCAAAUGAAUAUACGUGGAGACUCCAAGAAAUAAUUUAUGCAAUGAAGAUAGAUAUGAAUCCAGUAUAGAGAGUGAAUUGGGCAUCGCUGGACAUGAUGCAGUUGGACUUUCUGGAGUGCUCUGUUCAUUUCCAAUGAAAUGGCAGUAAUUGAAUAUGAUUCGGGGAUAGAGUGAUGAUCAGAUUCUAUACUGUGGAACAUACAUAUGGGUAUGCUAUUUUUUAUCUUCCACCCAUCUAAAUGGAUUUACACUGUGUCCUUUUAUUUUAAUUAGAUGACUGAAGGUUUUCUUUCUAAACUGAAAAUGCAGAUUCAGAUAAUCAGUAGAAACCAUAUAAGUAGUUAAUUCUACAUUUUGUUUGGGCUCGCCCGAAAUAAAAUUAAAUUCAGACUUAUAUUUU
Long non-coding RNA from Cryptomeria japonica (Japanese cedar), 1049 nucleotides. RefSeq lists it as uncharacterized. NCBI's taxonomy places the organism in Eukaryota, Viridiplantae, Streptophyta, Pinopsida, Cupressales, Cupressaceae. The transcript has 2 exons. The record is from RefSeq and is a predicted model, not a curated record.